This 406-nucleotide ribosomal RNA is filed under the name uncultured bacterium. Its description in RNAcentral is "bacterial SSU rRNA". It matches the Rfam family "Bacterial small subunit ribosomal RNA", at positions 9 to 415 of the family's 1533-position model. The record is from RNAcentral.
GAGUUUGAUCCUGGCUCAGAUUGAACGCUGGCGGCAGGCCUAACACAUGCAAGUCGAGCGGUAGAGAGAAGCUUGCUUCUCUUGAGAGCGGCGGACGGGUGAGUAAUGCCUAGGAAUCUGCCUGGUAGUGGGGGAUAACGCUCGGAAACGGACGCUAAUACCGCAUACGUCCUACGGGAGAAAGCAGGGGACCUUCGGGCCUUGCGCUAUCAGAUGAGCCUAGGUCGGAUUAGCUAGUUGGUGAGGUAAUGGCUCACCAAGGCGACGAUCCGUAACUGGUCUGAGAGGAUGAUCAGUCACACUGGAACUGAGACACGGUCCAGACUCCUACGGGAGGCAGCAGUGGGGAAUAUUGGACAAGUGGGACGAAAGCCUGAUCCAGCCAUGCCGCGUGUGUGAAGAAGGU